UUGAAAGGCAAUACGAAAACGGCUUGUUGUUGAAUUGUCUGGGUGUUUUACUGUUCAGAGUUCGUGCUGUGCUUUAUUAAUAAUAGAAGCAACACAAAAACAAUAUUAAAAAUGCUGUGAAACGUCAGAUAACGUAUUUAUUCUUGUGCCAUGAGAUAAAGGCCGACGUUUAAAAUAGUUAAAGGUAUACCGAAGAGCUCACAAAGAUAUUUCUGAGAAGACUAUUGCCCAUGUGUGUGAAGAUCAUUUUAAUCUGGAAGAAGAUAUGGAUAACUAUGUUAAAUUCAAGGUGAAAAAAAUGAAGGCCAAUGUACUUGUAACUUUCAUCCAUCCUACUGCAGAGUCUCCAUAAGACUACCUUUCCGAUCGUUAAAUAAUGUUUUUUUGUACUUACCUUUGUUAUUAUUUGUAAAUAAUGAUAUAUUUAAUCAUUAAUGCCCUGGUUUUCAUCAAUACCAAAUCACUGUUUAUGAUGUUUAGUUUUUAUUAGGAUGGAAACAAUAUUUUCUGAUUUUUUGUUGAAUCACUUACAUUUUGAUUCAUAGGUACUGUUUGAAUUUUGAAAAUUAGAGCCAUUAGAACCCCAAUCUAACAUUUUAUCGAUUUAUAUAAGUAAAACUAUUGACUAUUUUGUCUAUAAAUCUACCUGUUUACUUUAACACCGCGAACUUCAGCAAGAGUCAAACUUUCGGUGUUCUUAUUUUAAGAUGCCACCAUAAACAUGUCCACUAGUGGUAAAAUGUCAGAUUGUUCUUUUACAAAACCUGCGCUAGUCAUUUUGAAAAAUUUUCUUUUUCUUCUAAUACUAUAUAGAAACGUUUUGCAGCCGGCGCGGCCACGAGCCGCUUGACGUCACAACUAGUCCCAGCCAAUGACGGCGCGUUACAAGAAUGAUUUGAAUUAUACAGGUUUUAAUUGCUUAUAUUAAUUACAUAGAAAGAAAAAAUUAGUUUUUU
Molecule: long non-coding RNA, 956 nt
Organism: Dendroctonus ponderosae (mountain pine beetle)
Lineage: Eukaryota; Metazoa; Arthropoda; Insecta; Coleoptera; Curculionidae
Exons: 2
Source: RefSeq, a predicted model, not a curated record